AAGAAUUUUGAAUACUGGCUCAGGAUGAACGCUGGCGGCGUGCCUAACACAUGCAAGUCGAGCGAUCUCUUCGGAGAGAGCGGCGGACGGGUGAGUAACGCGUGGGUAACCUGCCCUGUACACACGGAUAACAUACCGAAAGGUAUACUAAUACGGGAUAACAUAUGAAAGUCGCAUGGCUUUUGUAUCAAAGCUCCGGCGGUACAGGAUGGACCCGCGUCUGAUUAGCUAGUUGGUAAGGUAAUGGCUUACCAAGGCAACGAUCAGUAGCCGACCUGAGAGGGUGAUCGGCCACACUGGAACUGAGACACGGUCCAGACUCCUACGGGAGGCAGCAGUGGGGAAUAUUGCACAAUGGGCGAAAGCCUGAUGCAGCAACGCCGCGUGAGCGAUGAAGGCCUUCGGGUCGUAAAGCUCUGUCCUCAAGGAAGAUAAUGACGGUACUUGAGGAGGAAGCCCCGGCUAACUACGUGCCAGCAGCCGCGGUAAUACGUAGGGGGCUAGCGUUAUCCGGAAUUACUGGGCGUAAAGGGUGCGUAGGUGGUUUUUUAAGUCAGAAGUGAAAGGCUACGGCUCAACCGUAGUAAGCUUUUGAAACUAGAGAACUUGAGUGCAGGAGAGGAGAGUAGAAUUCCUAGUGUAGCGGUGAAAUGCGUAGAUAUUAGGAGGAAUACCAGUAGCGAAGGCGGCUCUCUGGACUGUAACUGACACUGAGGCACGAAAGCGUGGGGAGCAAACAGGAUUAGAUACCCUGGUAGUCCACGCCGUAAACGAUGAGUACUAGGUGUCGGGGGUUACCCCCCUCGGUGCCGCAGCUAACGCAUUAAGACCCGCCGGAUUC
Molecule: ribosomal RNA, 841 nt
Filed under: Paraclostridium bifermentans
Lineage: Bacteria; Bacillati; Bacillota; Clostridia; Peptostreptococcales; Peptostreptococcaceae
Description: bacterial SSU rRNA
Rfam family: Bacterial small subunit ribosomal RNA
Source: RNAcentral